This 2172-nucleotide small RNA is filed under the name Rattus norvegicus (Norway rat). RNAcentral's name for it is "uncharacterized LOC102551351". Lineage: Eukaryota; Metazoa; Chordata; Mammalia; Rodentia; Muridae. The record is from RNAcentral.
GGAACCACAGAUACUUGAUAUUAUCUCAGUAAAAAAGUCAUACUAGCCAAUUAAAAUCAGGACCCACUUUGACUUCAGUAACUGUUGGAGCACAUACAACCAAGGAUAGUGUGGUUUUGGUUAAUAAGAUCAGAAGCAGAGGGAACACGGCUGAGUAGGAUAAGGAUUAAGAAUUAUAUGGACUUUGAAUGAUAAUUCAGGUGGGUGAAGUAGCUGGGAGAGGAAAGAUGAUACUGCUAUCAUCCAAAGAGUUUAGAGAUUGUUACAUCUAUGAAAGGUCACAAUUGAAAAGUAAAAGGAGCCAGGGAUAGGGAUGAUAGAAAGGUGAUCAGACAGGAGUAGGAGGCUGGAAGAUAUAAUGUAAAGAAUGCCUUAUAGUAAACUGGGUGAAGGGGAUGAAUAACCCUAAAAUAUAACAGCAAUGAUGAAAGUAAAACCACAUGAGGCAUAAGUAAGAAUACGAACUAAAUAAUAGAAAGCAAUUAAUAAAGAGAUGCCUAUGGAUGAAUUGCUGACACCACUGUGCUGAGCUGAAGGUGAUGUUCUCACCCCUCUGGUUCCCAGAGUCUCCAUUUGGUGCUGUUUCUGAGUCAUUUUAAAUUAGUAGUUUUCAUGGUGGGCAGCUUGUUCCGUAGAGAAAACAUGCCGAUAUUUGCAAGAUUUUUUUUCUUUCUGAAACUCAAGGGUAGGUGGAAUGGUAAUGGUGGGAUCUUUGAAGAGAAGCCCAGGAUGCUGCUAAACUCAGCACAGGACAGUCCACUCAAGUGAAGAACCCCGCCCAUGAAAUGGAGCCCUCCACAUUCAGGGGGAUUCUUCUCUACUCAGUUGAACUUCUGUGGAAAUACCCUCACAGAUGUAUCUAGAGUGAGGAGAUCCACACAACCAUGGAAGGAUCAACUGAGAGAAUGUCUACAAAUCACCUAGGAGAAAAAGCAGCACAAGAAACUGGAGACCAAUGGUGAUUCUUUAUGCAAGAAAGCAGCAGAGUGCCAAUCACACUGGAAGGGAUGUCCUGGAACCAAGACUGACUAAUGAAUUCACCAAGAAAUGAUUAAUGCCGGAAAUAAAUGAUCUAGAUGUACCUUUUUAAUUUCUUUCCUCACUUUCACUCUGUUAACCGACUCAUUCCCAGGCCUCAUCGUUUCUACUUAUAGGAAUUGGACUCUGACUUGUCAGAGAGGUCAGGGUAGGAUGUUAACACCAGCAGGACUCACAGCUCUUAAAAAACUGUGACUGAAAUCCUGAGAACUUUGGUUAACCAUGCGUUUGAGGCAUUGCUAUUUAUCUAAAGGGUAAUUAUAUUAUAAGGAACAGCAUCAGUUUCCGGGUUUGAAUCCUGCUUCUAUUUCUGACUGAUACAGUACUGUAUCAGUACUAAUACUAAUCACAAAUUCUAAUACUGAAACUUUCAAUGCUAACAAUGCUAACUCCUUAGGCUACGAGGAUCAACUGUUUAUUAAACAAAGCGCAGGCACCCCAUGAUAGCAGAAAGGCUAAGUAUGCUACUUCUAGUCCUCCUUUAAAGUAUUUUUUAAAGUAAUUCUAUUUCCCAGUCAACUUAAUACAAAGAUGGGCUCUGGAAAUCGUUGGAUGAAAAAGACUGAACUUUGUGCCCCCUUUGGAGGUGGCUAAGGCAAUUGGAGAGAACCCAGGGACAAUAGGAUCCUGUAAUUAGAUUACACGGUGGCCAGAGGUCAAAACCGGGGAGCAAGCAGAACUUUCCUUCAAGGGUCAGUGGUCAAGCACAAGCUGAGUUCAGCCAUAUUUGCUGUGAAGCCCCUGGAGGGAUCCUAGGGGAAAAGUAAAGCGCAGGAGGCCAUGAACCAGGUUCCCGGAUCACUGUGGCUGGCAUGAGAUCUCUGCUGUUGUCUGCAACUUUCUUUCUCUAGUAUGGAGAAUGAGCCUCUAAAAGCUAAGUUGAAUCUGCCAUUCCUAUCUUCAAACCCCUAGAGAGCCCAACUAACCCAACUUCCUGGAAAGGGUCCAUGAGUCUCUAUAGUUACCAGAGUACCCACUCUCCUCCGACCACCACUAGCCUUCUUUCUUUAUUUUUUUUUAAAUAUUUUGCAGUUUUGCAUUUACUUAUUUUUUCGGGGGUAGGGCGCAUGUGUGGGGGGUCACAGGACAAGUAGGAGUCAGCUAGCUCUUUCGCCAAGUGGGUCCAAGGAAAUA